Molecule: ribosomal RNA, 688 nt
Filed under: uncultured Sebacinales
Lineage: Eukaryota; Fungi; Basidiomycota; Agaricomycetes; Sebacinales
Description: eukaryotic LSU rRNA
Rfam family: Eukaryotic large subunit ribosomal RNA
Source: RNAcentral
UGACAAUUUGACCUCAAAUCGGGUGGGACUACCCGCUGAACUUAAGCAUAUCAAUAAGCGGAGGAAAAGAAACUAACAAGGAUUCCCCUAGUAACGGCGAGUGAAGAGGGAAAAGCUCAAAUUUUGAAUCUGGUGUCUUUGACUCCCGAGUUGUAAUCUAGAGAAGUGUUUUCCGUGUCGGACCAUGCACAAGUUCCCUGGAACGGGGCGUCAUAGAGGGUGAGAAUCCCGUAUAUGGCAUGGACUGCCGAUGCUCUGUGAUACACUCUCAACGAGUCGAGUUGUUUGGGAAUGCAGCUCAAAAUGGGUGGUAAAUUCCAUCUAAAGCUAAAUAUUGGCGAGAGACCGAUAGCGAACAAGUACCGUGAGGGAAAGAUGAAAAGCACUUUGGAAAGAGAGUGAAACAGUACGUGAAAUUGUUGAAAGGGAAGCGUUUGAAGUCAGUCAUGUCUGGYGGGAUUCAACUUGGGCUUCUGCCCGGUGUACUUUCCGUCCGAUGGGUCAGCAUCAAUUUCGACCGAGGGAAAAAGAUGUGGGGAAUGUGGCUGUCUUCGGGCAGUGUUAUAGCCCCGCAUUGUAUGCCUCGGUUGGGAUUGAGGAACGCAGCGCGCCUAUAGGCCAGGGGCUACCCGCCUCUUGACACGCGCUUAGGAUGCUGGCAUAAUGGCUUUAAGCGACCCGUCUUGAA